Molecule: ribosomal RNA, 253 nt
Filed under: uncultured bacterium
Lineage: Bacteria
Description: partial 16S ribosomal RNA
Rfam family: Bacterial small subunit ribosomal RNA
Source: RNAcentral
UACAGAGGUGGCAAGCGUUGUUCGGAAUUACUGGGCGUAAAGGGCGCGUAGGCGGUUUCGUAAGUCCUGUGUGAAAUCCCUCGGCUCAACUGAGGAACUGCACAGGGGACUGCGAGGCUUGAGUUCGGGAGAGGGAAGUGGAAUUCCGGGUGUAGCGGUGAAAUGCGUAGAUAUCCGGAGGAACACCGGUGGCGAAGGCGGCUUCCUGGACCGAUACUGACGCUGAGGCGCGAAAGCUAGGGGAGCAAACGGG